CCUACGGGAGGCAGCAGUGAGGAAUAUUGGUCAAUGAGCGGGAGCCUGAACCAGCCACGCCGCGUGAGGGAAGAAGGUACAGCGUAUCGUAAACCUCUUUUGUCAGGGAACAAAGGCGGGGACUAGUCCCCGGAUGAGGGUACCUGAAGAAAAAGCAUCGGCUAACUCCGUGCCAGCAGCCGCGGUAAUACGGAGGAUGCGAGCGUUAUCCGGAUCUAUUGGGUUUAAGGGGUGCGCAGGCGGCGUGUUAAGUCAGCGGUAAAAGCCUGGGGCGCAACCCCGGCGCGCUGUGGAAACUGGUGGACUAGAGUUAGAGAGAGGUAAGCGGAAUGCGUGGUGAAGCGGUGGAAUGCGUAGAUAGUGGGCAGAACCCCGAUGGCGAAGGCAGCGUACCGGCUACACACUGACGCGGAGGAACGAAAGCGUGGGGAUCGAACAGGAUUAGAUACCCCGGUAGUC
RNAcentral lists this ribosomal RNA (459 nucleotides) under uncultured bacterium. Its description in RNAcentral is "partial 16S ribosomal RNA". It matches the Rfam family "Bacterial small subunit ribosomal RNA", at positions 338 to 795 of the family's 1533-position model. The record is from RNAcentral.